Molecule: ribosomal RNA, 109 nt
Filed under: Caerostris darwini
Lineage: Eukaryota; Metazoa; Arthropoda; Arachnida; Araneae; Araneidae
Source: RNAcentral
AACGGCCGUACCAUGCUGAACAUACCGGUUCUCGUUAGAUCACCGAAGUCAAGCAUCAUUGGGCGCGGUCAGUACUUGGGUGGGUGACCACCUGGGAACACCGCGUGCC